Molecule: ribosomal RNA, 462 nt
Filed under: uncultured bacterium
Lineage: Bacteria
Description: partial 16S ribosomal RNA
Rfam family: Bacterial small subunit ribosomal RNA
Source: RNAcentral
GACGAACGCUGGCGGCGUGCUUAACACAUGCAAGUCGAACGGAAAGGCCCUUCGGGGUACUCGAGUGGCGAACGGGUGAGUAACACGUGGGUGAUCUGCCCUGCACUUUGGGAUAAGCCUGGGAAACUGGGUCUAAUACCGAAUAGGACCACGCGCUUCAUGGUGUGUGGUGGGAAGCUGUGGCGGGGUGGGGUGGGCCCGCGGCCUAUCAGCUUGUUGGUGGGGUAAUGGCCUACCAAGGCGACGACGGGUAGCCGGCCUGAGAGGGUGACCGGCCACACUGGGACUGAGAUACGGCCCAGACUCCUACGGGAGGCAGCAGUGGGGAAUAUUGCACAAUGGGCGCAAGCCUGAUGCAGCGACGCCGCGUGAGGGAUGACGGCCUUCGGGUUGUAAACCUCUUUCAAUAGGGACGAAGCGCAAGUGACGGUACCUAUAGAAGAAGCACCGGCCAACUACGUG